RNAcentral lists this small RNA (865 nucleotides) under Pongo abelii (Sumatran orangutan). RNAcentral's name for it is "retained intron". The record is from RNAcentral. Lineage: Eukaryota; Metazoa; Chordata; Mammalia; Primates; Hominidae.
GGGGCUGACUGAGAGCGUCUGCUUGCUCUUAUUUUAGCCUUAAAAACUCUUCAGGAAAAAAUUCAUCGUUUAGAGCUGGAGAGAACACAAGCUGAAGAUAACCUGAACAUUCUUUCCAGAGAAGCAGCACAGUAUAAGAAGGCCUUAGAGAAUGAAACAAAUGAGAGAAAUCUGGCACACCAGGAGCUGAUAAAGCAGAAAAAAGAUAUAAGUAUACAGUUAAGCUCAGCCCAGUCUCGUUGUACUCUUCUAGAGAAGCAACUAGAAUAUACAAAGAGAAUGGUUCUCAAUGUAGAGCGAGAAAAGAACAUGAUCCUAGAACAACAGGCCCAGCUUCAGAGGGAAAAAGAACAAGAUCAGAUGAAGCUGUAUGCAAAACUUGAAAAGCUUGAUGUCUUAGAAAAAGAGUGUUUUAGACUUACAACAACUCAGAAAACUGCUGAGGACAAGAUUAAACAUUUAGAAGAAAAACUUAAGGAAGAAGAACAUCAACGUAAGCUAUUUCAAGACAAAGCUUCUGAGCUUCAAACUGGACUUGAAAUCAGUAAAAUUAUAAUGUCUUCAGUUUCAAAUCUAAAGCACUUCAAGGAAAGGAAGAAAUCUUCAAAGAAAACUAAAUGUAUAAAGAGAGGACCACCUUGGCAAAUUUGUUCAAAGUUUGGAGCACUGCCUUUUGUGGCUGAAAAGAUGAGGCAACAUCGUGACCCACAUAUCCUUCAGAAACCUUUUAACGUGACUGAGACUAGAUGUCUCCCCAAGCCUUCUAGAACAACUUCCUGGUGUAAGGCUAUUCCUCCUGACUCAGAAAAGUCCAUUUCCAUUUGUGACAAUUUAUCUGAACUUUUGAUGGCAAUGCAAGAUGAGC